Molecule: ribosomal RNA, 1214 nt
Filed under: uncultured bacterium
Lineage: Bacteria
Description: partial 16S ribosomal RNA
Rfam family: Bacterial small subunit ribosomal RNA
Source: RNAcentral
GGCCUACCAUGCAAGUCGAGCGGUAACAGGGGUAGCUUGGUACCCGCUGACGAGGGGGGGAAGGGGGGGUAAUACUUGGGAACUUGGCUUUAGGAGGGGGACCCCCCCGGGAAACUGGGGGUAAUACCGCAUACGUCCUACGGGAGAAAGGAGGGGAUCUUCGGACCUCACACCUAAAGAUGGGCCCAAGUGAGAUUAGCUAGUUGGGGGGGUAAAGGGUCACCAAGGGGACGAUCUCUAGCUGUUCUGAGAGGAUGAUCAGCCCCCCUGGGACUGAGACACGGCCCAAACUCCUACGGGAGGCAGCAGUGGGGAAUAUUGCACAAUGGGGGAAACCCUGAUGCAGCCAUGCCGCGGGGGUGAAGAAGGCCUUCGGGUUGUAAAGCACUUUCAGUGGGGAGGAAGGGGUUGUCGUUAAUAGCGGCAACGAUUGACGUUAGCCACAGAAGAAGCACCGGCUAACUCCGUGCCAGCAGCCGCGGUAAUACGGAGGGGGCAAGCGUUAAUCGGAAUUACUGGGCGUAAAGCGUACGUAGGCGGCCUGUUAAGCAAGAUGUGAAAGCCCCGGGCUCAACCUGGGAAUGGCAUUUUGAACUGGCAGGCUCGAGUUUUGAAGAGGGUGGUAGAAUUUCCUGUGUAGCGGUGAAAUGCGUAGAUAUAGGAAGGAAUACCAGUGGCGAAGGCGGGCACCUGGUCAAAAACUGACGCUGAGGUACGAAAGCGUGGGGAGCAAACAGGAUUAGAUACCCUGGUAGUCCACGCCGUAAACGAUGUCAACUAGUUGUUCGUCUUAUAAACAAGGUGAGUAACGCAGCUAACGCACUAAGUUGACCGCCUGGGGGAGUACGGCCGCAAGGUUUAAACUCAAAUGAAUUGACGGGGGCCCCGCACAAGCGGUGGAGCAUGUGGUUUAAUUCGAUGCCACGCGAAGAACCUUACCAUCCCUUGACAUCCAGAGGAAGGUCCUAGAGAUUAAGACUGUGCCUUCGGGAACUCCUGAAACAGGGCUGCAUGGCUGUCGUCAGCUCCUGUUGUGAGAAUGUUGGGUAAGUUCCCGCACCAGCGCAACCCUAUCCUCAGUUGCCAGCCGUAUGGUGGACCUCUGUGGAAACCUGCCCGGUGAUAACCGGAGAGGUUGGACCCACCUCAGUCUAUCAUGCCUUACCGGAUGGCUACCACUGUCUUCACAUGGCCCUAUACAAUGGAAUCAGGCU